UGGGUACUGAGACAACGACCCAGGCCUUACGAGGCGCAGCAGGCGCGAAACCUCCACAAUACACGAAAGUGUGAUGGGGUUACCCAAAGUGUUCAAUAUUGAACUGUGGUAGGUGAGUAAUGUUCCCUACUAGAAAGGAGAGGGCAAGGCUGGUGCCAGCCGCCGCAGUACAACCAGCUCUUCAAGUGGUCGGGAUAAUUAUUGGGCUU
This 209-nucleotide ribosomal RNA is filed under the name uncultured archaeon. RNAcentral describes it as "partial 16S ribosomal RNA". It matches the Rfam family "Archaeal small subunit ribosomal RNA", at positions 297 to 511 of the family's 1478-position model. The record is from RNAcentral.